Molecule: non-coding RNA, 18 nt
Filed under: Arabidopsis thaliana (thale cress)
Lineage: Eukaryota; Viridiplantae; Streptophyta; Magnoliopsida; Brassicales; Brassicaceae
Source: RNAcentral
UCAACCUAGGCUCUGAUA